RNAcentral lists this ribosomal RNA (397 nucleotides) under uncultured bacterium. RNAcentral describes it as "partial 16S ribosomal RNA". It matches the Rfam family "Bacterial small subunit ribosomal RNA", at positions 523 to 918 of the family's 1533-position model. The record is from RNAcentral.
AUACGUAGGUGACAAGCGUUAUCCGGAUUUACUGGGCGUAAAGGGCGUGUAGGCGGUCUUGCAAGUCAGAAGUGAAAUUCCUGAGCUCAACUCGGGCGCUGCUUCUGAAACUGCAGGACUUGAGUGCUGGAGGGGAUAGCGGAAUUCCUAGUGGAGCGGUAAAAUGCGCAGAUAUUAGGAAGAACACCGGUGGCGAAGGCGGCUAUCUGGACAGUAACGGACGCUGAGGCGCGAAAGCGUGGGGAGCAAACAGGAUUAGAUACCCUGGUAGUCCACGCUGUAAACGAUGAAUACUAGGUGUAGGGGGUAUCGACUCCCUCUGUGCCGCAGUUAACACAAUAAGUAUUCCGCCUGGGGAGUACGGCCGCAAGGUUGAAACUCAAAUGAAUUGACGGGG